UUAAAUAGCUGCUGCUGAUAUUGGGUACCGUGAUAGUUUCUGUGCUGAUGCUAUACUUGUUCUUAGUUUUGGUUCUUGAUAAUGAGGCUUAUAAUGGGUCUUUUGAAUUUUUGGGGAUUUGGUACAGUUUUUCUCCUGCUCUGGUGUUUCGCUGCCCUUUUUUGUCAAAAAAUAAUUGAGAGAGUAGUCAAUUUUCAUUUUGUACUGGUUUAGAUGUGAUUAAGAUUGAGUUGAGUUCAGUCAAAGAUGUGUUAUCCUAGUUCUGCUUCUAAUUUGUGCUGGGUAACAUGCUUUCUUGACUUGGAUAUGUGCCACAGUGUCAUAAUGUUGACUGUGUGUGAAUAGAUUGAUUGUAUAAAUCAUGAUAUUGAUUGUAGGAUUGAUCAUAGGGAUAUUGAUAUUUUCAAAACCAUAUAUUAAAUCCAUUGCUUGAGGGAAUAAUCGAGCAAUUUAUUCCCCAAAUCUUCCCAUUCUUUCUCUAAGUUUCAGCACAUAGGAAUCAAAAUUUAACUUCUAUUUGUGGCUGUCUCAAUCCCUUAGCAUUUGCGUCAGUUUGUAAUCUCUCUCUAAUUCUUCCUACUUCUUUGCCUGCUUGCAGAAUUGCUAGAAAUAUAUGGAGGA
Molecule: unclassified non-coding RNA, 621 nt
Filed under: Hevea brasiliensis (rubber tree)
Lineage: Eukaryota; Viridiplantae; Streptophyta; Magnoliopsida; Malpighiales; Euphorbiaceae
Source: RNAcentral